AGCAGAGUGGCGCAGCGGAAGAGUGCUGGGCCCACAACCUAGAGGUUGAUGGUUCAAAACCAUCCUCUGCUA
This is a non-coding RNA of Etheostoma spectabile (orangethroat darter), 72 nucleotides long. The record is from the annotation of a RefSeq genome assembly. NCBI's taxonomy places the organism in Eukaryota, Metazoa, Chordata, Actinopteri, Perciformes, Percidae.